This is a non-coding RNA of Anas platyrhynchos (mallard), 759 nucleotides long. The record is from RefSeq and is a predicted model, not a curated record. NCBI's taxonomy places the organism in Eukaryota, Metazoa, Chordata, Aves, Anseriformes, Anatidae.
UUGGAAGCUGUGCUCAGUUUAGAAGCCGCUGGUGAAAGGAAGCCAGAUCAGUGCUGGGAUCUAAGCAGCCCCCCACCUGGGCUUCAGUACACUUAAGUGCUUGCCUAACCUGCACAGCCAGGGGUGGAAACCACCCUGCCAGUUUGUAAGAUGACCUGGGGAAUCUAGAAAGGUCUGCUGUCUCAAAUCCAUCACCUGAUGUCAAAGUGGGAUUACAUCCCCUUGCUUACAGCACACCCACACCAGCUGUAGAUCUGCAGAGAAGCUGUGAAUGGGAGCUGAAAUUUGGAAGUGCAACCCCUGCACCCAGAAGGCAUUUGUUAGUCCUUGCAGCCAUGAAGAUAGGAGCCUGCAAAAUACUGAAUGAUUCCACACAGGUCAGGAGCUCCUUUUUCGUUCUAUCUUCUAGCAGACGAACAAGAAGAUACCUGAGGAAAUAAAAAGCUGGUGAAGACUGCCUGAAAGAAAAUUCUGUGGGAGGUUUAUUUUGUCACUGACAAUGUUGUGUCUGUUUCUUCAGAAAAAAUGGAAAACUUCAGUUUGCAGCAUCUUCCACUGGAAGUAACUUACCGUCUGAGUUAAUACUCAGAAAUGGAAACACUCUACUGGGAUUCUUAUUCAUAUUCUCAACUAUGACUGUCUGCUUGCAGUUUCUUGUUACAUGAACACUUACAUUUUUCAUGUAUUGCUCAGACUUUAUACCUUAUGAAUAUGAACAAGAAAUUGGCAAAAACUCACAUCUCUUAUAAUAAAAUUCAA